CUAAUUUAGAUAUCAUAAAAGGUGUUGUAUUUAUAUAGACAGCAGGACGGUGGUCAGUGGAAGUCGAUAUCCGCUAAGAAGUGUAGUAACAACAUACCUGCCAAAUGAAUUGGCCCUGAAAAUCGAUGACGCUCAAGCUUAAUACUUAAACUUAACCGUUAUUGCGAAUUAAUUAGCUUUAACGAGUAGGAGAACGUGAAUGUAAUUAAAAAGUUUAAUGAAGUGAUUCUAAAUGAAAUUGCAUUUAGUGCAGAUCUUGGUGGUAGUAGCAAAUAUUCAAGUAAAAUUCUUGAAAACCGAUGAAGAGAUAGGUUUCAUGAGAACAGCAAUUGAUCAUGAGUUAGUCGAUCCUAAAGUAAAGAUUAAUUUCGAAAAAGAGAAUUUCUGUAUUAAAAACACUAUAAAAAGAAAUACCUUUAUACUGAAAGGGAAUAAGUUUAAUAUUACUUAACUAAAAACUGGAUAAUUAAUUAAGGUAACUUAAAUGAAAUCUGAAACGUUAGAGAGUAUCCCGGG
Molecule: ribosomal RNA, 516 nt
Filed under: uncultured eukaryote
Lineage: Eukaryota
Description: eukaryotic LSU rRNA
Rfam family: Eukaryotic large subunit ribosomal RNA
Source: RNAcentral